AGCAGCCGCGGUAAUUCCAGCUCCAAUAGCGUAUAUUAAAGUUGUUGCAGUUAAAAAGCUCGUAGUUGAAUUUCGAGAUCGGCUUACUGGUCGUGCUUUUGUACGUACUGGUAUAAUCGGUUUCUCCUUUCUGACGAACUUUAAUGCCAUUAAUUUGGUGUUUUAGGGAAUCAGGACUGUUACUUUGAAAAAAUUAGAGUGUUUAAAGCAGGCUCACGCUUGAAUACAUUAGCAUGGAAUAACGGAAUAGGACGUUUGAUUCUAUUUUGUUGGUUUCUAGGAUCGACGUAAUGAUUAAUAGGGAUAGUUGGGGGCAUUAGUAUUCAAUUGUCAGAGGUGAAAUUCUUGGAUUUAUUGAAGACUAACUACUGCGAAAGCAUUUGCCAAGGAUGUUUUCAUUAAUCAAGAACGAAAGUUAGGGAUCGAAGACGAUCAGAUACCGUCGUAGUCUUAACCAUAAACUAUGCCGACUAGGGAUCGGAUG
This 484-nucleotide ribosomal RNA is filed under the name uncultured Glomus. RNAcentral's name for it is "SSU rRNA". It matches the Rfam family "Eukaryotic small subunit ribosomal RNA", at positions 569 to 1059 of the family's 1831-position model. Lineage: Eukaryota; Fungi; Glomeromycota; Glomeromycetes; Glomerales; Glomeraceae. The record is from RNAcentral.